This 468-nucleotide ribosomal RNA is filed under the name uncultured bacterium. RNAcentral describes it as "partial 16S ribosomal RNA". It matches the Rfam family "Bacterial small subunit ribosomal RNA", at positions 28 to 507 of the family's 1533-position model. The record is from RNAcentral.
GACGAACGCUGGCGGCGUGCUUAACACAUGCAAGUCGAACGGAAAGGCCCUGCUUUUGUGGGGUGCUCGAGUGGCGAACGGGUGAGUAACACGUGAGUAACCUGCCCUUGACUUUGGGAUAACUUCAGGAAACUGGGGCUAAUACCGGAUAGGAGCUCCUGCUGCAUGGUGGGGGUUGGAAAGUUUCGGCGGUUGGGGAUGGACUCGCGGCUUAUCAGCUUGUUGGUGGGGUAGUGGCUUACCAAGGCUUUGACGGGUAGCCGGCCUGAGAGGGUGACCGGCGACAUUGGGACUAAGGGACGGCCCAGACUGCAACGGGAGGCAGCAGUGGGGAGUAUUGCACAGUGGGCGGAAGCCUGAUGCAGCAACGCCGCGUGCGGGAUGACGGCCUUCGGGGUGUAAACCGCUUUCGCCUGUGACGAAGCGUGAGUGACGGUAAUGGGUAAAGAAGCACCGGCUAACUACGUG